ACCUGGGUGGCUCAGUCGGUUGAGCGUCUGACUUCGGCUCAGGUCAUGAUCUCACGGUUUGUGAGUUCGAGCCCCGCCUCGGGCU
This 85-nucleotide transfer RNA is filed under the name Felis catus (domestic cat). It matches the Rfam family "tRNA". Rfam says of the family: Transfer RNA (tRNA) molecules are approximately 80 nucleotides in length. Their secondary structure includes four short double-helical elements and three loops (D, anti-codon, and T loops). Lineage: Eukaryota; Metazoa; Chordata; Mammalia; Carnivora; Felidae. The record is from Rfam by way of RNAcentral.